AGCGAACGCUGGCGGCAGGCCUAACACAUGCCAGUCGAACGAACUCUUCGGAGUUAGUGGCGGACGGGUGAGUAACACGUGGGAACGUGCCUUUAGGUUCGGAAUAACUCAGGGAAACUUGAGCUAAUACCGGAUGUGCCCUUCGGGGGAAAGAUUUAUCGCCUUUAGAGCGGCCCGCGUCUGAUUAGCUAGUUGGUGAGGUAAAGGCUCACCAAGGCGACGAUCAGUAGCUGGUCUGAGAGGAUGAUCAGCCACAUUGGGACUGAGACAUGGCCCAAACUCCUACGGGAGGCAGCAGUGGGGAAUCUUGCGCAAUGGGCGAAAGCCUGACGCAGCCAUGCCGCGUGAAUGAUGAAGGUCUUAGGAUUGUAAAAUUCUUUCACCGGGGACGAUAAUGACGGUACCCGGAGAAGAAGCCCCGGCUAACUUCGUG
This 433-nucleotide ribosomal RNA is filed under the name uncultured bacterium. RNAcentral's name for it is "partial 16S ribosomal RNA". It matches the Rfam family "Bacterial small subunit ribosomal RNA", at positions 29 to 507 of the family's 1533-position model. The record is from RNAcentral.